Molecule: ribosomal RNA, 274 nt
Filed under: uncultured bacterium
Lineage: Bacteria
Description: partial 16S ribosomal RNA
Rfam family: Bacterial small subunit ribosomal RNA
Source: RNAcentral
AUACGGAGGGUGCAAGCGUUAAUCGGAAUUACUGGGCGUAAAGAGUACGUAGGUGGUUUAUUAAGUCAGAUGUGAAAGCCCCGGGCUCAACCUGGGAACUGCAUUUGAAACUGAUAAGCUAGAGUAUGAUAGAGGGGGGUAGAAUUUCUAGUGUAGCGGUGAAAUGCGUAGAUAUUAGAAGGAAUACCAGUGGCGAAGGCGGCCCCCUGGACCAAUACUGACACUGAGGUACGAAAGCGUGGGGAGCGAACAGUAUUAGAUACCCUAGUAGUCC